RNAcentral lists this ribosomal RNA (305 nucleotides) under uncultured bacterium. Its description in RNAcentral is "bacterial SSU rRNA". It matches the Rfam family "Bacterial small subunit ribosomal RNA", at positions 337 to 640 of the family's 1533-position model. The record is from RNAcentral.
CCCUACGGGGGCCAGCAGUGAGGAAUAUUGGUCAAUGGUCGGGAGACUGAACCAGCCAAGCCGCGUGAGGGAGGAAGGUACAGAGUAUCGUAAACCUCUUUUGUCAGGGAACAAAGGCGGGGACGUGUCCCCGGGUGAGUGUACCUGAAGAAAAAGCAUCGGCUAACUCCGUGCCAGCAGCCGCGGUAAUACGGAGGAUGCGAGCGUUAUCCGGAUUUAUUGGGUUUAAAGGGUGCGCAGGCGGUCUGUUAAGUCAGCGGUCAAAGCCCGGGGCUCAACCCCGGUCCGCCGGUGAAACUGGCAGU